CCGCACCUUUACUAUAGUCGACUGAGGACAGGCUUGCGCCUCUCUGCUCUGUUUUUUUAUCUGCGUUCGUGUUGUUCACAUCUAUUUUGUGUUAUUUUAUUUUAGGGUAAGCGCGCUUCUCGCGGAAACGGCAGCGUGCUCGUGAUCCGAAAUGGCCUGGACGGUGCACGAGGAUGAGUACAGGACGGAGGGGUACACCAAUCUCGAGGAGAUCUUGCAGUACGUGGUGUACACGGAGGAAAGUGUGCAGCAGCCAAAGCCUACUGUAAAGUACACCAAGAGCUCGCAGGUGUUUGCGAUGCCGUCUCCGCUGACUGCCGCGGAGCUGAGCUCGCCUAUCAACCAUCAACUUACGAAUACUGUCCCAUGGCAGCCACAGAGCCACACGCCGACUAACUCUUCCUUCCACAGCCUGGGCAUUCCGUACACGUCGGCUCAGAGUCCACAGCAGCGCCGCUGCAACAAUCGCUUCAACGGCAGCUACAGUGGCCACUGCGACCGUAAACCAAAGAUCGUGAGCGGUAGUGAGACUUGCGUCCUCUCUCCUGGCGCGAGAAAGCGGGGCAUGAGUACGGGACAGAUGGACCACAUGAUGGCCACAGAGUUGAAUAGUAUGCCGGUGCCUGAGCUGAUCAUGCAGGAGGUGCUCGCUUCGCAGGACGUGAUGGUGGGAGGAGGCUACGGCGACUGGUCAGGACAUGGUAGCAAGUACUUCCAGGGUGGUGCCCUCACCGCCGACAGCCUGCGGGGCAGGGUUUACGAAACCGCGAAGGAUCAGCACGGUUGCCGCUAUCUGCAGCGGUGGCUGGACACGAACUGCGACACCGAGGCGUUGCAGGUGAUGAUGGACGAAAUCAUUCCGCACGUUGGGGAGCUGAUGACAGACCAGUACGCAAACUUUCUCAUUCAAAAGCUGUUCGACAUCAUGCCCGAUGAUGUGCGAUACAAGGUCGCCGUCGUGGCAGCGCCACAUAUUUGCAUGAUUUCCCUCACGCCGCAUGGCACAUUUAGCGUUCAGAAGAUGAUCGAGACUAUCUCGACGCGCGAGGAGAUGAAGAUCAUUUGCGAGGCGCUCGCCAAGGAUGUUGUUCGGCUAGUCAAGGAUGCACACGGGAACCAUGUGAUUCAGAAAGUGCUUCAGCGCUUCGACUUUGACGACAAGGAGUAUAUCUACAGGGCAGUGGCGACGGACUGCGUGUCGAUUGCUAAGAACAAGCAGGGUUGCUGUGUGCUGCAGCGGUGCCUCGAACACGCUUCACCGCGGCAAAAGGCUGCCCUUGUGGAUCAGGUGCUGGCUUGCUGUUUGCAAAUUGUCCAGGAUCCAUUUGGCAACUACGUCCUCCAGUACGUGCUGGAGGCGCACGACAGCAAGAUAAACGACACCAUUGCCCUUGCGUUUCUUCCCCACCUGGUGCAGCUAUCCAUGAACAAGUUCAGCUCCAACGUGAUGGAGAAAGUGCUGCGCGGUGCCUCGAGGCCAGUGCAAGUAAUGUACAUGGAGGAGAUGUGCAACCCGGAGAUCAUCUCCCACCUCAUUCAAGACGACUACGGCAAUUAUGUCCUGCAGACAGCGCUCACGAUAAACGCGCCGGUGCAGGCAGAGCAACUCGUGAACGCCAUUCGCCCUUUUAUGCCGUUGAUCAAGAACGCACCGUACGCGAAGAAGAUGGAGGGCAAGAUGGAGGCUGUUGCACGGAAGAUCGAGGGCAACAACUUCCACGCGCCCCGAGACUGCGAGAUCGACGCUCGUCAAGGGAGCAGCAGAGGCAGCCCGCACGGCAAGUUCGACCGCUCCCCCAACCACGGACGGCGUUAAGUAGGUGGUACAGAUUAGCAGCAGCCUUAUAAUCAUCCCACAUGAUGGCGCGCACCGUAGUGCUGUUGCCCGUGCUGAAGGCCUGAUGUGAGCGACGGAAGCGAAAGCGUCGUCUUCACAUGCACGUUCGAGCGCCUUCAAGCGCUGCUGGGAUCUUCAUCAUCACAAUGGAGCUCACUGCCCCCCUCCCCAAAAAAAAAGCGAAGCAACUGGAGGAGGCACGUAACGGUCAAUCAAGGGGCGUUGGCCAUGACAGCCGCGCGGCUUGAGCAUUCUCUGAGGUGCUCCCUCCCUCUCCGCAUGACUUCUUGCCACUGAGGGGUGAGCAAGAGGCGUGGGAACGAAAAAAAGGCGGGGAAACAAAGAUAGAAUAAGCCGCCUCAUGCCCAUGCGAGAGGUGGCAGAGUUCGGGGUAAGUGAUAACGGGGCUUUUGCACAUCUUGUGCGUUUAAAUGUGCGUGAAUAUGUGUACGUGGAAGUCAGAGACGUAUUCUGUUUCGCCUUCUUUUUCGUUUGACGACUUUCUUUUUGGCUGGUUCAAUUUCACGUGAUCUCGCCGCUUCCCUCGUUGUGUUUCCCCUCUCUUUUAUCCUGAUGACGCGAGACACCUCAGCGUGGUAUCUCAGGGUCCAGUACCCCCACUCUGCGUGUGGGACGCAGCCCAGCAGCCCCCAGAUUCUGCCAAUGCCGAGCCACUUCUGGUGGUGACAGGGUCAAGCGCCUACGACGUGGGGAAGCCAGAGCGGUUCAUCGCUGCUGAUGCUGGAGGUCAUGUCAUGGAUGGCGUUGCAUCGGAGAGACCUGCCACAGUGAACACCUGUGUGCCACCCAUGUGAUGGGCGAAAUGCCAACGUGACUCGGACGCGUCUCACCCGGCCCUCUGGCUGUCUACUGGUGGGGGAGCCUGAGGCUACCUCGAGGGGGACGCACGGGGUGGCGACUGGCAUGAUAGGAGCGGCUGUGCGGCGACCCGCGGAGCGGGCGGUGGGUGGAGCUUGAGGUAGAGGCCAUGCUCAUGUGAGUGAGUUUGCUUUGGACUAACGCGUGUCUACGGCUGCUUCGCACUACGCGAUGUGCCUGUGGCAGGGACAGAGUAGCGUGGAGGUGAAGCCAUGCUAUAUGAUAGAAUAGACAUGUUAGCAAAACAGUUCUCUUUUAUCACUGUAUAGUGUGUACAUUCUUGUUUUCAGGGAAAGGCAAACAUAUGUGCGUUUCGUGUGCGCGCGCGCCUUUUCCACUGAUUAUCUGUCUUUUUAUUUUGGUAUUUUUGUUGCUUUAUGCCAUGCAGUCGCGUGGAAUGGAAUGAGGUGAAGAAGGGAGGACGGAGAGGUCGAGCGGAAAUGAGGGAGUUCCACGGCAUCAACGGACCUUCGCCGUAUUCGUGUCUGCCCUCUUUCUUUCAGCUUCUUAAGUCUAUGCUGCAAUGUCUGGCUGCUUAGCCCUCGCCCCACUCUAGCUCUCUCCAUCGCUUGCUUUCAAAGACGCACACUGACCUGCGUAUGCGCGUGUUUUGUUCACGUGCUUUUUCUUUUUGUGGUGAUGCGUGCCUCCUACAGACCCACGCAGACAGCCUUACGCGCCGUGUUCAGAGGGCGAAUUGGUGUGCUGCUGUGUUUGUGUCGGAGGUCAUCACACGCGCCUUAGGUUGCGCGGAGCCUUUGUUGAGCGGCCUGCGUUACCUUGCGUGCCCCUUUAUGAAUGUGAAUGCUCAAGAAGUCGCUCCAUGUUUUCUAUUGCGUAAGCGCAGACGCAGACAGAAAUACGCAUAAACACAUACAAGCACACACACACACACGUCCCCAUACAGAAAACCACUUUCUUUUUUAUUUGCGUUCUCCUCUCUCAUUUCCGCCUUUUUCGUUGCUACUGAAUCAGAUUUUUUUUUUUUGCCAGCAAUGGGUGUGAGAGUGUAGGCGGGUGGGAUAAGGGAGGGAAAGAGCGGGGCGACCAGCACGAGCGGUGCAUAGCGCCGCGUCUGGGUGAGCCUUUCAUUACCUCCCACUCCACCAGCAUCCCCUUUUGUUAAAUGGUGAAUCUCCACCACCUCGUCUGAUCCUCACUUUUUCGACUCUGCUCCUGCUGCGCACAUCUGACUCGCGCUGCAGUCUAUCUGAUCGCCCCUCUCUCGUGUGAUGCUGUCACAGCUGCGACGCAAUCGGCCCCCCUCGAAUGUGGUGGGGGUAUUUGUGUGCGUGUGAAUCAUCGCUAUGAGCACAAAAUGACACGCAGAGGAGAACACAGCGGCAGGGAAAAGAGAGCACACACACACACACUCAACAUCGAAAUCUGUUUUGACUCUCAAGGAGCACAACACUGCAACAGAAACUGCAUGCCCCCCCCCCUCCCGCGCCGCGGGUGAGGAAGGGACGGCGGGUAGGUGAAGCUGCGGGGAUGGGCUGGGGGACAGACAGAUGAUGGCUUGAAUAGGAGCCGAAGGCCAGGCGCGGGAUUCGCUCCCGCACAAAAAAAAAGACAAGGAGAAAGGCAGACGACAUCGAGACCUAGCGACAGAGAGAGAGCAGAGGCAAGCAAGUUGAGUAAGGUGAAGUAGCGACUAAUGACAGUGUUCGAUGCCUGGAGUCUUGUGCGUAUUGGUGAGCGUCGCUCGUGCUACCGCGUGAACAUGAGCAACCCUUCACAGAUACACAUACGUCUAAAUUUCUCGGAGUCAGCUGCUUUCUCUCGAACCCCUUCAUACAACCCUCAGAUUACUCUCCAUCAUACCAGCUCCGCUGUCCUUUUUUUUUUAUCGCUUCUUCUGCCUUAUCUAAACAGCUUUGGUUUUUCCUCUUUCCGUGCGUUUCUCUCGGCCCCUCCCCUCCCCCUCCCUUUCUACCAGCCUUUACAUGUGUACUUGUUCGAAAGUCUGUGCCGCUGACAGUUUUGUGCACGCUCCCGUGCACGACAUGCGAAGACGCAUACAUGAAGCCGUGAUGGGCUGUGCUGAUCCCGCCCCUUUUUUUUCCGUCCUUCUUGAUCUCACUGCUUUGAGGGGAGGGGGAUACGGUGCAUGUCCUUCGUAUUUUUUAUCUUUCUUUUCGGACUGUUGUUGCAUACGCUCGACCCCCGCCCCGUUUUGGGACGUUUUCUUCAUUCUUUUUUUUUUGCUGUUUUGUUUCUCAUUUUGAGGGCCACUGUGCACGACGCACGCUGGUGUACUUUGGUGCCGCGCACGCUCUCCCCUCCGAACUCCUCGAGGUAUGUCCUUUGCUGUUUACGUCCCUCUAUUUAAGUUCUGUUGUGUGUGUUGUCCUUCCCAUCCUCCUCCUCCCCGCUUUUUCCUCUCCCGUCCGUUUCUUCCGUUCUCUCUCGAGAGAGUGCUCUACUGUGGGCCGCUCGCCUGGUUGAGCGGAGUACGGCCCAUGCCGCAUCGGGCAGCUGAGUGCUAUGUGCAGCAGCAGCAGCAGCGAGCGGCGAGGCCGACAUUGAAGGGCAGUGAAGGAAGAAGGUAAAUGGCGAUGCCACCAAGUAGAAUACGACAGGUUAAGAGAAAUAAGAGGGAAGGAGGGAGGGUGGGGAAAAGAGAAAUUCGCUGAUACGUAAGGCCACUUACCCUGUACAUUUUUUUGAUUUUCGUGUUUCUAUGCCCACUAAGGCGGUUGCUUUUCGUGUUUCUCCAUCAAUCUAGUCGUCCGCGCACUGCCGCAGUAAAGAUACCCUUAUUCAGAGAAUGCAAACAGGUUG
Molecule: unclassified non-coding RNA, 5500 nt
Filed under: Leishmania donovani
Lineage: Eukaryota; Euglenozoa; Kinetoplastea; Trypanosomatida; Trypanosomatidae
Description: gene:LdHU3.21.2440(CDS-product:pumillio_protein_3 _putative)
Source: RNAcentral